Molecule: ribosomal RNA, 468 nt
Filed under: uncultured bacterium
Lineage: Bacteria
Description: partial 16S ribosomal RNA
Rfam family: Bacterial small subunit ribosomal RNA
Source: RNAcentral
GACGAACGCUGGCGGCGUGCUUAACACAUGCAAGUCGAACGGAAAGGCCCUGCUUUUGUGGGGUGCUCGAGUGGCGAACGGGUGAGUAACACGUGAGUAACCUGCCCUUGACUUUGGGAUAACUUCAGGAAACUGGGGCUAAUACCGGAUAGGAGCUCCUGCUGCAUGGUGGGGGUUGGAAAGUUUCGGCGGUUGGGGAUGGACUCGCGGCUUAUCAGCUUGUUGGUGGGGUAGUGGCUUACCAAGGCUUUGACGGGUAGCCGGCCUGAGAGGGUGACCGGCCACAUUGGGACUGAGAGACGGCCCAGAGUCCUACGGGAGGCAGCAGUGGGGAAUAUUGCACAAUGGGCGGAAGCCUGAUGAAGCAACGCCGCGUGCGGGAUGACGGCCUUCGGGUUGUAAACCGCUUUAGCCUGUGACGAAGCGUGAGUGACGGUAAUGGGUAAAGAAGCACCGGCUAACUACGUG